RNAcentral lists this long non-coding RNA (1108 nucleotides) under Vigna radiata. RNAcentral describes it as "long non-coding RNA (VRAD_LNC018307)". The record is from RNAcentral. Lineage: Eukaryota; Viridiplantae; Streptophyta; Magnoliopsida; Fabales; Fabaceae.
UUGAAAAUUUAUGAAAGUCUUGGUUUUUUAUUUUUAGGGACUGCAAUGCACUCUUUAAAUCCCCAAAUGAUUACUGGUGCCAAAAUCUAGGGGCAAGAAGAUUUUCAAUUUGGUUGGUUUUCAAGCAAACCUAGUUUGGUUUUGACACUUCGCUAGGAUAUUAUUUGGUGCCAAGAUUUGGAAAUUUUUGAAAGUCUUGGUUUUUGAAAUUUAGGGAUGCAAUGCACACUUUAAAUCCCGAAACGACAACUACUGAAAAGAAUAGGUGCAAGAAAAUUUUCAAUUUGGUUGGUUUUCAAGCAAACCAAGUUUGGUGAUGAGACUUGGCGAGGUUGGUGCUUGGUGCCAAGAUAUAAAAAUUUUUGAAUGCCUUGGUUGUUGAUUUUUAGGGACUGGAAUGCACUCUUUCAAUCGCCAAAUGAUUACUGGUGCCAAAAUCUAGGUGAAAGAAGAUUUUCAAUUUGGUUGGUUUUCAAGCAAACCUGGUUUGGUGAUGAGACUUGCCUAAGUUGGUGCUUGGUGCCAAGAUAUGAAAAUUUAUGAAAGUCUUGUUUUUUAUUUUUAGGGACUGCAAUGCACUCUUUAAAUCCCCAAAUCAUUACUGGUGCCAAACUCUAGCUGCAAGAACAUUUUCAAUAUGGUUGGUUUUCAAGCAAACCUAGUUUGGUUUUCACACUUCGCUAGGAUAUUAUUUGGUUCCAAGAUUUGGAAAUUUUUGAAAGUCUUGGUGUUUGACAUUUAGUGAUGCAAUGUGCACACUUUAAAUCCCGAAAUGUCAAAUGGUGAAAAAAAUAGGUGCAAGAAAAUUGUCAAUUUUUUUGGUUUUCUAGCAAACCAAGUUUGGUGGUGAUGAGACUUGGCUUAGUUGGUGCUUGGUGCCAAGAUUUGAAAAUUUUUGAAAGUCCUUGUUUUUUAUUUUUAGGGACUGCAAUGCACUCUUUAAAUCCCCAGAUGAUUAUUGGUGCGAAAAUCUAGAUGCAAGAAGAUUUUCAAUUUGGUUGGUUUUCAAACACACCUAGUUUGGUUUUGAGACUUCGCUAGGUUAUUGUUUGGUGCCAAGAUUUGGAAAUUUUUGAAAGUCUUUGUUUUUGACAUUUAGGGAUGCAAU